This 824-nucleotide unclassified non-coding RNA is filed under the name Ooceraea biroi (clonal raider ant). RNAcentral's name for it is "uncharacterized LOC105285354, transcript variant X3". Lineage: Eukaryota; Metazoa; Arthropoda; Insecta; Hymenoptera; Formicidae. The record is from RNAcentral.
UUUUUCCCUGCGAAUGAUUUUUAGCGAGUAGCGAAUAAUUCGCCACGAAUAGUUACCUCAAUAAAGUUAGCCGGACAAUUUCAACUUUAAACAUUUUUGUUUAUAUGAAUCGUUUGUUAGUGGUUUGUUGUUGAUUGUUAGAUUAAUUAAAACAUUUGUUAGACAAUAUUUUCUAUGUAAAUACGAAAACAAUUUUUAAUGUCAAGAUAGCCGGUAAAUUACAAUUUUUGUUUCAAAAUAGGUUUAAUCGAUGCGGAAUCGUUUGUUGUUUCCGAAUAAACUAAUUAAAACGUUUGUUUCAUAAUGAAAAAAGAUCAUGUGCAUGGUAAAUGGAAUGCAAGUUCACAUUCGGUGUUGUAUUUCUCAAAUUUCUCAAUGCAAAAAUAUGGGCGUAAACGGCGGCCUGGCCGCUCUCAGGUUCCUCUCUGGUUCGGCAAAAAGUACAAGAAGGAAUUAAGCUUUUAAUGGACAACAGCGAGUGCGCUGCAACGAGGGAGGUAUCCGCAGAAAAGAAAGCGAUUUUCGAGUUUCUACUCUAUCAAUUGGGAGCCAUGUCUCUUGAUAGUUCCCCGUUGCAAUGGUGGCUUCGAACGUCCACGAAGUGCCCGAACUUGACGAAGUUGGCGAACAAAUAUUCCUGCGUGCCCGCGUGUUGCGCACCGCCAACACGAAUUCCGCAAAUGCAAUACUAUACGAGGCGAGCGGCAUUACCUCAUCAUUUGAUUGACAAAUUACUCUUCUUGCACGGCAAUUAUACAUAAAAUUAAUAUUUUUAUUUAGUAUACCUAUACUGUAAUACAAAGCAAAUAUACAUAUACAUGAUA